RNAcentral lists this long non-coding RNA (657 nucleotides) under Solanum tuberosum (potato). RNAcentral describes it as "long non-coding RNA (STUB_LNC002962)". The record is from RNAcentral. Lineage: Eukaryota; Viridiplantae; Streptophyta; Magnoliopsida; Solanales; Solanaceae.
AGUAAAAACGCAAAAUAUUAUUUCAUCAGAUUAAAAUAACUCAACUAUAUAUGUGAUAACUAUUAUAAAUUAACUUUACCCUAUAACAGUAAAGUCACAAAUGUUCUCUACUUUAGCACUAUUUUUAGUAAAUAGAUAUAUACUUUUGCCUUUUGUACUGCCCUGAAAUCUAUAUCUCCAAAUAAUUAUAUAUAGAAAAUAUUACAUAAAUAGACAACUUAAGAUAUCAUAAUCUUUAAAAUUUUCUAUUAGUUAAAAAAAUUACAAAAAUUCCCUCACGAUACAUCCCUAUCCUCUUUCGAAUACAUCCUUAGUUAGCCUUUCCCCUUUCGAAUACAUCCUUAGUUAGCCUUUCCCCUUUCGAAUACAUCCUUAGUUAGCCUUUCCCCUUUCGAAUACAUCCUUAGUUAGCCUUUCCCCUUUCGAAUACAUCCUUAGUUAGCCUUUCCCCUUUCGAAUACAUCCUUAGUUAGCCUUUCCCCUUUCGAAUACAUUCCUCCCCUCUCAGAUACAUCCAUGAGCUAUGUAUCCGCAGGUUGCUUAAUUUAUCCGAAAUCCUAUGGUUUUUAAGAAAUUUUUAUAAUUUAAAAAAGAUUAGAGAUAUAAUAUAAUUAGUUCUUUUAAGAGAAUAAGAUUUAUGUAAUAUAGAAGCUCACC